GACGGAGGAUGCAAGUGUUAUCCGGAAUCACUGGGCGUAAAGCGUCUGUAGGUGGUUUAAUAAGUCAACUGUUAAAUCUUGAGGCUCAACCUCAAAAUCGCAGUCGAAACUAUUAGGCUAGAGUAUAGUAGGGGUAAAGGGAAUUUCCAGUGGAGCGGUGAAAUGCGUAGAGAUUGGAAAGAACACCAACGGCGAAAGCACUCUGCUGGGCCGACACUGACACUGAGAGACGAAGGCUAGGGGAGCGAAUGGG
Molecule: ribosomal RNA, 253 nt
Filed under: uncultured bacterium
Lineage: Bacteria
Description: partial 16S ribosomal RNA
Rfam family: Bacterial small subunit ribosomal RNA
Source: RNAcentral